Molecule: ribosomal RNA, 467 nt
Filed under: uncultured bacterium
Lineage: Bacteria
Description: partial 16S ribosomal RNA
Rfam family: Bacterial small subunit ribosomal RNA
Source: RNAcentral
GACGAACGCUGGCGGCGUGCUUAACACAUGCAAGUCGAACGGAAAGGCCCUGCUUUUGUGGGGUGCUCGAGUGGCGAACGGGUGAGUAGCACGUGAGUAACCUGCCCUUGACUUUGGGAUAACUUCAGGAAACUGGGGCUAAUACCGGAUAGGAGCUCCUGCUGCAUGGUGGGGGUUGGAAAGUUUCGGCGGUUGGGGAUGGACUCGCGGCUUAUCAGCUUGUUGGUGGGGUAGUGGCUUACCAAGGCUUUGACGGGUAGCCGGCCUGAGAGGGUGACCGGCCACAUUGGGACUGAGAUACGGCCCAGACUCCUACGGGAGGCAGCAGUGGGGAAUAUUGCACAAUGGGCGGAAGCCUGAUGCAGCAACGCCGCGUGCGGGAUGACGGCCUUCGGGUGGUAAACCGCUUUCGCCUGUGACGAAGCGUGAGUGACGGUAAUGGGUAAAGAAGCACCGGCUAACUACGU